This 493-nucleotide long non-coding RNA is filed under the name Pan troglodytes (chimpanzee). RNAcentral's name for it is "long non-coding RNA NONPTRT015991". Lineage: Eukaryota; Metazoa; Chordata; Mammalia; Primates; Hominidae. The record is from RNAcentral.
GCAGGUGAGUGUUGGGCGCGGGCGCGGUGGUGUGUGCAGGUGAGUGUUGGGUGCAGGCAUGGUGGUUGCAGGUGAGUGUUGGGUGCGGGCGUGGUGGUGUUUGCAGGUGAGUUGGGUGUAGGCGUGUGUGCAGGUGAGUGUUGGGCACGGGCGCAGUGGUGUGUGCAGGUGAGUGUUGGGCGGGGGCGUGGUGUGUGCAGGUGAGUGUUGGGCGCGGGCGUGGUGGUUGCAGGUGAGUGUUGGGCACGGGCAUGGUGGUUGCAGGUAAGUGUUGGGUGUGGGCGUGGUGGUGUGUGCAGGUGAGUGUUGGGCGCGGUGGUGUGUGCAGGUGAGUGUUGGGCGCAGGCGUGGUAGUUGCGGGUGAGUGUUGGGCACGGGCAUGGUGGUUGCAGGUAAGUGUUGGGUGUGGGCGUGGUGGUGUGUGCAGGUGAGUGUUGGGCGCGGUGGUGUGUGCAGGUGAGUGUUGGGCGCAGGCGUGGUAGUUGCGGGUGAG